RNAcentral lists this RNase P RNA (293 nucleotides) under uncultured Campylobacter sp. RNAcentral's name for it is "Bacterial RNase P class A". It matches the Rfam family "Bacterial RNase P class A". From Rfam's summary of the family: Ribonuclease P (RNase P) is a ubiquitous endoribonuclease, found in archaea, bacteria and eukarya as well as chloroplasts and mitochondria. The record is from RNAcentral. Lineage: Bacteria; Pseudomonadati; Campylobacterota; Epsilonproteobacteria; Campylobacterales; Campylobacteraceae.
GCUACAAAAGUAGAGGAAAGUCCGAGCUGCAUCAGAGCAAAGCUACGCCUAACAGGCGUCGGGCGAGAGCCUAGGGAUAGUGCAACAGAAAGCAAACUACCAGCAGUGGUACAGGUGAAACGGCGGGGUAAAAGCCCACCAGUGCGCAGGCAAGAACAAGCCACGCAGCUAUGUAAACCCAGCUUGCAGCAAGAAGCGGUGGUAAAGCUCUGAGAUUUUACGCUUCGCUAGACCCCUUUGGUGACAUUGGGGCGAGAUAAAUGGCUACAUAAACAGAACUCGGCUUAUAGCCA